UGAGGAUACAGGGGGGUGAGAAUAUAGGGGGAUGAGGAUACAGGGGGGGGGGGAUACAGGGGGGUGAGAAUACAGGGGCGUGAGGAUACAGGGGGAUGAGGAUACAGGGGGCUGAGGGUACAGGGGGGUGAGGAUACCGGGGCGUGAGGAUACAGGGGGGUGAGAAUACAGGGGGUGAGGAUACAGGGGCGUGAGGAUACAGGGGGGUGAGGAUACAGGGGUUUGAGGAUACUGGGGCGUGAGGAUACAGGGGGAUGAGGAUACAGGGGGAUGACUGCUACCACUACUGGAAAAGUGAAACCACAUGAGAGUGUGUCCUACUGAUGAAACAUUAAGAUUAUGCCUUUUUGUUUUUAGAAGUCCAAAGAGACUUUGCUACUGGUUGUGAGUUUUGCUUUUCCAGACCAAAACAACUCAUCUCACAAAUCAACUACCAUCAUACUUUGUAUUAACAAUUAAGUGUAAGAAAAAUUGAAACCAAAAUAGUUAUUAGAACAGAAGCAUUUAUUGGACACAGGUAUCUGCAAUCCCUCCCCUACCCUACCACCAGAAUGACAUUUCAACAGCCCCAAUCUCAUCCUGUUACUUCUCUUCUUAAAGUUCUUCAGGCCUGAAAGAGGAGGCACAGUCCAGUAAUUGGAGCUUGGGACCUGGAACCACACUGCUGAAGUUCAGGACCUGCCUCUGACUCUUGAGAGCUGAGUGACCUUGAGCAAGCUAGCGAACUUCAUCUGCAGAAUGAUGUGCUUCCCUGAUGGAAAGGAGGAAGACAUGACAUUGAAUGCCGUGUACCAGCAUUGCGGUGGGUUCUGGGGAUUCCUGGUGUGUAGGAUUCACUGCGAAGAUGGAGGCCAACGGAUAGGCAUGACGCAGUUGUCUCAAGUGGAAGUACAUGUUGCGAAAGGAGCUUGGAGAAAGAGGUGGUUAUGAGAAGCCUCUGUAAGAGUCGAUGCCGAGCCUUGAUGGGUGCGUAGGGGCCAAGCAAAGAACAGAGGGAAGCACCCUCCAGGCGGAGGACGCUGGAUGUCUGAAUGCUUGAAAGAGCAUAGUUUGCUGAGAGAAUGCAAAUAAUCUGUAUAAUAUGAGGCAGGGGCUACAGUAAGGACUAGGAGAAUAAGAGGAGAAAUGGCAAAGCUGACUAGGCCAAGAGGAGAUAGUGAAGUCUAUUUAGUAUUUUUAAGGUUUUAUUGUUUCUUCAAAAGUGAAAAUUUUAUUUUUGAAAAGGAUUUAAAUAGUGUAUGAUAAUAUAUAAAAGUAAAACAAACAAAAAUCACUUGAAAGUCUUCUCAACCUGAGGUUACAACUGUUGAUCCUUUACUGGGCAUCUUUCUAUACUCUUUCUCUCUCUAUAUGUAAUUUCAUGCAAGUAGAAAUAUACUAUGCACAUUGUUAUGCAACUUCCACCCAUUUUUUUGUCAAUGAUGAGAAUCUUGGACUUUAUUCUAAAGAGCAUUAGUGAUUUUCAAUGAGGAGAUAUCAUAAUAAUAUUUGUAAAUUAUGAAAAAACACACAACGGUAUUGUACAGGGUCAACUUGAGGCAGUGGUGGUGGGAACACCAAAGAGCCCAGGGAAGGAAUGAUGGUGAUAUGAGUCAGGCAAUGGUGAUGGGCUGGAAAAAGGGAGGCGUCCAGAUGGCACAGGAGUAAGCGUGGUGCGCUCUGCGAUUGUGGAGGUGGAGUUGUCAAAAGGAGGGAGGUGCUGAGGAAGAGAGACAGAGGAAGAGAAAUCGCCAGUGAUUCCCAGGUUGCUGGCUGGGAAUGUGUGGGUAUUAACCAGCAGUUUGGAAUGCCUGUGGGGUGUUCAGGUGAAGAGAGCAGGUAAGCAUUUAAAUAUACAGGACUGCAGCUCAAGGUAGAAUUCAAAACUGGAGAUAGAAUUCUGGGCAUAUCAUCAGUGGUUAAAGCUAAGAGAGCUGAGGACUGGUGACACAGGCCAAGCAGGAAACGUUGAGUGGGGACCUUGUUUUGUUCAGUGUUAUAUUCUCAGAACUGCCCCUAGCAUGUAGCAGGGGCUAAGUGUUUCUUGAAUGAGUAAUUAAAUAAUAAUAAACGUUUUUUCUAUUUCA
Molecule: long non-coding RNA, 2066 nt
Organism: Bos mutus (wild yak)
Lineage: Eukaryota; Metazoa; Chordata; Mammalia; Artiodactyla; Bovidae
Source: Ensembl